This 1951-nucleotide ribosomal RNA is filed under the name marine sediment metagenome. RNAcentral describes it as "bacterial LSU rRNA". It matches the Rfam family "Bacterial large subunit ribosomal RNA", at positions 41 to 1990 of the family's 2925-position model. The record is from RNAcentral.
AAGAGCCGAUGAAGGACGUGACAAGCUGCGAUAAGCUAGGGUGAGGCGCACAUAGCCUUUGACCCCUAGAUUUCCGAAUGGGUAAACCCAGUGAGCAUAAUGGCUCAUUAUCCGUACCUGAAUAUAUAGGGUACGUGAAGGCAACCCGGAGAACUGAAACAUCUAAGUACCCGGAGGAAAAGAAAUCAAUAGAGAUUCCCCUAGUAGUGGCGAGCGAACGGGGACCUAGGUCAAACCGAUAAGAGCGCAAGCCUUGUCGGGGUUGUAGGACCGGUCAAUAUUCAAGUUACCAAGUGCAAGACAAGCAAAAUGGCAUGGGAAGGCCAACCGUAGAAGGUUAAAGUCCUGUAUGCGAAUGUUUAUGCACCUUGAGACCGGCUCCUGAGUACUGCCGAACACGUGAAACUCGGUGGGAAGCUGGGACGACCACGUUCCAAACCUAAAUACUCCUUUGUGACCGAUAGUGAACAAGUACCGUGAGGGAAAGGUGAAAAGCACCCCGGGAGGGGAGUGAAAUAGUACCUGAAACCGUGUGCCUACAAGCAGUCGGAGCACUAUUUAUAGUGUGACGGCGUGCCUUUUGUAGAAUGAGCCAGCGAGUUACGAUCUGCGGCAAGGUUAAGCAUUAAGCGAGCCGUAGCGACAGCGAGUCUGAAUAGGGCGCCAUAGUCGUAGGUUGUAGACGCGAAGCCAGGUGAGCUAUCCAUGGGCAGGCUGAAACGGGGGUAAGACCCCGCGGAGGGCCGAACCCACUUAGGUUGAAAACUGAGGGGAUGACCUGUGGAUAGGAGUGAAAGGCUAAUCAAACCUGGAGAUAUCUCGUUCUCCCCGAAAUAGCUUUAGGGCUAGCGUCGAGCGUUUACCUUAGGAGGUAGAGCACUGGAUGGUCGCGGGGGCCUCACCGCCUACCAACAUCAACCAAACUCCGAAUGCCUAAGGUCCAGAGCUCGGCAGUCAGAAUAUGUGGGCUAAGCUGUGUAUUCAAAAGGGAAACAGCCCAGACCGCCCGCUAAGGUCCCUAAAUCCAUACUAAGUGGCAAAGGAUGUGCGUUUGCUCAGACAACCAGGAUGUUGGCUUAGAAGCAGCCAUUCAUUUAAAGAGUGCGUAAUAGCUCACUGGUCGAGUGGACAUGCGCCGAUAAUAUACGGGGCUAAGUAUGGUACCGAAGCGGCGGACUAGAUUAUAUCUAGUGGUAGGGGAGCUUUCUGUACGGGGUGAAGCUGCAUCGUGAGGUGUGGUGGACUGUACAGAAGUGAGAAUGCUGGCAUGAGUAACGAGAGAGAUGUGAAAAACAUCUCCGCCGUAAGUCCAAGGUUUCCUGGGCAAGGUUAAUCCUCCCAGGGUCAGUCGGGAGCUAAGGCGAGGCCGGAAGGCGUAGUCGAUGCAUAGCAGGUAGAUAUUCCUGCACCUCCAAAAAAACGUUAUCACCAAUGGGGUGACGGAGAAGGGUAGCUGAGCGGGGUUCUGGACGUCCCCGUGAAUCCGCGUAGGUUGUCGUGUAGUGAAAUGCGCACGACUUUAAGCUGAGGCGGUGGACGAAGCAAUUAAGUGAAGUCAGUGAGCCCAUGCUUCCAAGAAAAACCUCUAGGAAGUUUUUAGGAGCCCGUACCAAAACCGACACAGGUGGACGGGUAGAACAUACCAAGGCGAUCGGGAGAACUAUGGUUAAGGAACUCGGCAAAAUAGCCCCGUAACUUCGGGAGAAGGGGUGCCCCACUUAGGUGGGGCCGCAGUGAAAUGGGUCAACCGACUGUUUAUCAAAAACACAGCAUUGUGCUAAGACGCAAGUCGAUGUAUACGAUGUGACACGUGACCAAUGCCAAAAGAUUACGAUGAGAUGUUAGCCCCAUUUAUGGAGGCAAAGCUUCGAGUCCAAGUCCUGGUGAAUGUCGGCCGUAACUAUAACGGUCCUAAGGUAGCGAAAUUCCUUGUCGGGUAAGUUCCGACCUG